GUGUUUGCUGAGUCACCUUCUCCUUUACAUAAAACAUUUACUCUCCUAGAUGUUUUGUAUUCUUUCUUUUCUUUCUUUCAUGUGUGUGUGUGUGUGUGUGUGUCUGCAUGUGCACGUGUGGUGGGGAUCAAACCCAGGGCACUGCCCAUGCUAGGGAAGUGCUCUGGCACUGAGCCACAUUCCAGUCCACUCUUAUAGGCUUUAAUUUUGAGUUCAAGCUCAUCUCUGGUGGACAGAGUGCCGACGCAGUCUGGCUGGGCACAAAUAAUCGAGCCGCCAAAAAGCCGUGUAGGUUCAAACAGCAACUCUUUAUUCCCAAACUCUCACCUGCUCUCUACACACACUACCCGGGAAUACACUCUCUCCACCGGGCUCUUCAUGCCAAUUCUCCCAGAACCACGUGAGAACUCAAUGGAACUACAAAGUAGCAGUGCCCAAGGCAGCAGGAUCUGCCCUAAUCCCAGCAGGAUCCGCCCUAAUCCCUGAGCUGCCCUAUUCCCUGAGCCUCCCUAAUCCCAGAGCAGGGUCAACUUUCAACCAUUCCCUCUAGCAAAAUGCCAUGCGUCAUCCCGACUCGGCACUGGCCCUCAACAUCUCCCCCUUCUGUUUAAUUAAACAACAAGCAUGUGGCUUAGAGACCGUGCCUGUCUUAGGUUGUCCAAUGCUACAUAUGGUCCUUACCCGUCAUUGGAUGAGCUGACCUCAAGAUGUCAGCCUCCUGUCUUAGGUUGGUACCAUUGUAAUUGGAUCUUACCCGUCAUUGGCUACUGGUCCAGCAUACAGCCAUAAUUGUGGAUAGGCCUUUGCACCAGUGGGGGGUGAAGUUCUUUGCCUCACCUCUGUUGGCCCCCAAAUUUGGCCUUGGUGCCAUUGGGGGGGUGAGGUUCUUUGCCUCACCUCUGUUGGCCCCCAAAUUGUAGACCAUCACAAGCAGGAAGGGAGGAGGAUGAAAAAUGCCAUGGCACCAAGCUAAAUUACAGCUCUUUUUGGAAAAUUGUACCACUGAUGACAUCAUCAGCAAAGAUACCCCAGCACUACCACAAUUCACUGCACCAACAGAUAGUUCCCAAUGCAUGCAAGUGAUACAUAGUCCAGGCAAGUUCUGCAAGCAGUUCAAAGCAGAGGAAUCCAUUAAUAUGUCCAUUUCCUCCCAAAGUAAAUUGACUUCUUGAUUGAGCAUCACCUGUUGAGUUAUUAUUCAUUGAUGCAUCAGUUUAUACAGUUUAAUGUGAUAGCUAUUGAAGAAGCUGUAACUUAGUUUUAUCUUUUUCUUCACCAGCACUGGGAUGAAGAUAGGAAUUCUGGCAAUGAUGGCUAAAAAAAAAUAUGUAACAUUCCAGCAGGCACUAAGAAAACAACUUUCUGAACAAUUUACAUUAUCCUGAGCAGAAUUAUUAAAUAUAAUGAAAAGGAGAGGUGAAAGUAAACAAACAUCUGUUAACCUCCUUUUUUGUUUGCAUUUUAAAACAAUCCUCAACAGCUGUUUACCCAAUUUAAAUUAAACCAUUUAAAUCAUGUGAAUAAAAAAAAAAUUCGGAUCGAUUUUUUCAUGAGUGCACCUCAUAUAAAUGGAC
This 1574-nucleotide long non-coding RNA is filed under the name Marmota monax (woodchuck). Lineage: Eukaryota; Metazoa; Chordata; Mammalia; Rodentia; Sciuridae. The record is from RNAcentral.